CUAAGUUUGAUGGCGACCGGCGCACGGGUGAGUAACACGUAUCCAACCUGCCGAUGACUCGGGGAUAGCCUUUCGAAAGAAAGAUUAAUACCCGAUGGCAUAGUUCUUCCGCAUGGUGGAACUAUUAAAGAAUUUCGGUCAUCGAUGGGGAUGCGUUCCAUUAAGUUGUUGGCGGGGUAACGGCCCACCAAGCCUUCGAUGGAUAGGGGUUCUGAGAGGAAGGUCCCCCACAUUGGAACUGAGGCACGGUCCAAACUCCUACGGGAGGCAGCAUG
This 275-nucleotide ribosomal RNA is filed under the name uncultured bacterium. Its description in RNAcentral is "partial 16S ribosomal RNA". It matches the Rfam family "Bacterial small subunit ribosomal RNA", at positions 79 to 353 of the family's 1533-position model. The record is from RNAcentral.